RNAcentral lists this ribosomal RNA (721 nucleotides) under uncultured Albatrellus. RNAcentral's name for it is "eukaryotic LSU rRNA". The stretch from base 205 to 358 matches the Rfam family "5.8S ribosomal RNA". The record is from RNAcentral. Lineage: Eukaryota; Fungi; Basidiomycota; Agaricomycetes; Russulales; Albatrellaceae.
UCAUUAACGAAAGCUUGAGCGAGGUUGUAGCUGGUCCUUCNGGNGNCACGUUGCUCGUCUCGUCUCUGUCUUCAUCUCUCACACCCCUCUGUGCACCUCUGCGUGGGGCCCUGGGCGUUCGUUCGCCGGGGUGCCCCGCGUCCUUUUAACAAACGCCUCGCAUGUGUCGGAACGUCUGGUUUGCUAUGGAAGCGAAACUUGUACAACUUUCAACAACGGAUCUCUUGGCUCUCGCAUCGAUGAAGAACGCAGCGAAAUGCGAUAAGUAAUGUGAAUUGCAGAAUUCAGUGAAUCAUCGAAUCUUUGAACGCACCUUGCGCCUCUUGGUAUUCCGAGGGGCACGCCUGUUUGAGUAUCGUGAAAUUCUCAACCCGACUCCUUUUGUGAAAGGGGAGGAGGGCUUGGACUUUGGAGGACUUUUGCCGGUCCCUUUGUUUGGGAUCGGCUCCUCUCGAAUGCAUUAGUGGAGCUUGCUCGCCCUCUGCCCUCGGUGUGAUAAUUCAUCGCCGACGUGUGAGGGAGGAAAGGCGCCGCUUCCAACGGUCUCGUCCGGAGACAAGCAUCUGAACCCUUUGAUCUCAAAUCAGGCGGGACUACCCGCUGAACUUAAGCAUAUCAAUAAGCGGAGGAAAAGAAACUAACGAGGAUUCCCCUAGUAACUGCNAAUGAAGCGGGAAAAGCUCAAAUUUGUAAUCUGGCGGUCUUUGGCCGUCCGAGUGUA